Molecule: ribosomal RNA, 253 nt
Filed under: uncultured bacterium
Lineage: Bacteria
Description: partial 16S ribosomal RNA
Rfam family: Bacterial small subunit ribosomal RNA
Source: RNAcentral
UACGGAGGGUGCGAGCGUUGUCCGGAAUCACUGGGCGUAAAGGGCGCGUAGGCGGCCUGAUAAGUAGGGGGUGAAAUCCUGCGGCUUAACCGCAGGGCUGCCUUCUAAACUGUCAGGCUAGAGCACGGUAGAGGCAGAUGGAAUUCCCGGUGUAGCGGUGGAAUGCGUAGAGAUCGGGAAGAACAUCAGUGGCGAAGGCGAUCUGCUGGGCCGUUGCUGACGCUGAGGCGCGACAGCGUGGGGAGCAAACAGG